GAUGAAGAACGUAGCGAAAUGCGAUAAGUAAUGUGAAUUGCAGAAUUCAGUGAAUCAUCGAAUCUUUGAACGCACAUUGCGCCCCCCAGUAUUCUGGCGGGCAUGCCUGUUCGAGCGUCAUUUCAACCAUCAAGCCCUGCUUGUGUUGGGGUCCUGCGGCUGCCCGCAGGCCCUGAAAACCAGUGGCGGGCUCGCUAGUCACACCGAGCGCAGUAGCACACCUCGCUCAGGGCGUGCGGCGGGCUCCAGCCGUUAAAGCACCCACCUUUCGCAAGGUUGACCUCGGAUCAGGUAGGAAUACCCGCUGAACUUAAGCAUAUCAAUAAGCGGAGGA
This 334-nucleotide unclassified non-coding RNA is filed under the name soil metagenome. RNAcentral's name for it is "partial contains 5.8S ribosomal RNA, internal transcribed spacer 2, and large subunit ribosomal RNA". The stretch from base 1 to 120 matches the Rfam family "5.8S ribosomal RNA", at positions 35 to 154 of the family's 154-position model. The record is from RNAcentral.